This 205-nucleotide RNase P RNA is filed under the name Armatimonadota bacterium. RNAcentral's name for it is "partial RNase P RNA component class A". It matches the Rfam family "Bacterial RNase P class A", at positions 164 to 367 of the family's 367-position model. From Rfam's summary of the family: Ribonuclease P (RNase P) is a ubiquitous endoribonuclease, found in archaea, bacteria and eukarya as well as chloroplasts and mitochondria. The record is from RNAcentral. Lineage: Bacteria; Bacillati; Armatimonadota.
GGGGUAAGAGCCCACCAGCACGGCGGGUGACCGCCGUGGCUCGGCAAACCCCGUGCGGAGCAAGCCCAAGCAGGGGGCGAUGACGCGGCCCGCCGAGCCCCCGGGUAGGGCGCUUGAGGCGUUGGGCAACCAACGUCCCAGAUAGAUGACCACCACGGACGCUCAGCCGUCCGUACAGAAGCCGGCUUACAGGCCCACUCUCCCC